AAAUUCAAAGCCCUUCCCAACCUCUUGAUUCCUAAUCAUCUCUGUCUCCGACCAGCUACAAAAUCGGUGAAGAAGAAGAAGUGUUAACCGUAAAAUCGAAUAUUUGUCAACAUCGAAAUAGUUCGAACGAAAUAGUCCGGACGUUGCUCCAAUCUUCCACCGCCGCGAAGCGAUCAUCAUGCCCAACCGAAGGAGACGCCUC
RNAcentral lists this long non-coding RNA (202 nucleotides) under Olea europaea (common olive). Its description in RNAcentral is "long non-coding RNA (OEUR_LNC006677)". Lineage: Eukaryota; Viridiplantae; Streptophyta; Magnoliopsida; Lamiales; Oleaceae. The record is from RNAcentral.